AGAUGUGAGGGUGACCUGGCUGUGACAUCUUUUGCCGCAUUGAUGGCCAGGGUUGUUUGGCUGAUCUGGCUGCCUAGGCAGGUGUCCCCUUCCUCCCUCACUGUUCCAUGUGCCUCCCUCCAGAAGCUACAUCCUUGGUUGAAGAGGAUGACCAUCCCCAAUAGAGGAGGACUGGUCUUCAAUCAAGGGCAUAUGAGUAGCUGCACUCCCCUGAUAGAACCUGCAAACAAGCGCUGAAAAAAUGAAGGCAUUUUUUAAUAUCAACUAAUAAUGUGGAGAGAGUACUGGAGUUAAAUAAUCAUUUUGCAAAAAUCAUAAUAAAACUGGUUCAAGCAAGAAUCAUCAAUGGAUAUUAAAU
Pan troglodytes (chimpanzee) is the source of this 358-nucleotide non-coding RNA. Lineage: Eukaryota; Metazoa; Chordata; Mammalia; Primates; Hominidae. The record is from Rfam.